Molecule: ribosomal RNA, 253 nt
Filed under: uncultured bacterium
Lineage: Bacteria
Description: partial 16S ribosomal RNA
Rfam family: Bacterial small subunit ribosomal RNA
Source: RNAcentral
UACGAAGGGGGCUAGCGUUGCUCGGAAUCACUGGGCGUAAAGCGCACGUAGGCGGCUUUCUAAGUCAGGGGUGAAAUCCUGGAGCUCAACUCCAGAACUGCCUUUGAUACUGGAGAGCUUGAGUCCGGGAGAGGUGAGUGGAACUCCGAGUAUAGAGGUGAAAUUCGUAGAUAUUCGGAAGAACACCAGUGGCGAAGGCGGCUCACUGGCCCGGUACUGACGCUGAGGUGCGAAAGCGUGGGGAGCAAACAGG